AAGAACUCCCACUCCUUGCCCAACAACUUCAUAAAUUCCCAAAACCAAAUAGAAACAAGAUGCCGCUUCUUAUCACCAAAAGCAAACAUGGAAGUACUGUUCUGUUAGAAGAUCAGUUGAGGGGUCUUCUGAAGAGAUACGACGCUAACAAUGAUGGCAAGCUAAGCAAGGCUGAGCUGAAGGUUGCGUUCAAAAGCCUAGGCUCUCAUUUUGCUGGCUGGAGAGCUAUGAGGGCAAUUCACCACGCUGACGCCAAUGGCGAUGGAUGUAUCAGCGAAGAUGAGAUGGAGGAGCUUAUCAAAUAUGCUAUAAAAUUGGGUUUUCAAAUGUAUUAGACUAAUAAAUCUAAUAUAUAUAUUCUGUAUCAAGAACGUACGUGCUCGGAAUAAUUAUAAGAGUGCAAAUUUCUAUAUAAUUCUUCCUUUAAUUUAUGGUAGUUCUAAUUUUAUUGGCUCCAUAGCCGAUUUCAAGUAGAAGGUCCUUUGUUAGAGAUAUACUGCAAUUAAAUACAACAUGUAAAG
This 521-nucleotide unclassified non-coding RNA is filed under the name Hevea brasiliensis (rubber tree). Lineage: Eukaryota; Viridiplantae; Streptophyta; Magnoliopsida; Malpighiales; Euphorbiaceae. The record is from RNAcentral.